AUUUAACGCUGGCGGAAGGCCUAACACAUGCAAGUCGAGCGAGCGGCGGACGGGUGAGUAAUGUCUGGGAAACUGCCUGAUGGAGGGGGAUAACUACUGGAAACGGUAGCUAAUACCGCAUACCAUCAGAUGUGCCCAGAUGGGUUUAGCUAGGAGGUUGGGUAACGGCUCACCUGGGCGACGAUCCCUAGCUGGUCUGAGAGGAUGACCAGCCACACUGGAACUGAGACACGGUCCAGACUCCGACGGGAGGCAGCAGUGGGGAAUAUUGCACAAUGGGCGCAAGCCUGAUGCAGCCAUGCCGCGUGUGUGAAGAAGGCCUUCGGGUUGUAAAGCACUUUCAGCGGGGAGGCGUUACCCGCAGAAGAAGCACCGGCUAACUCCGUGCCAGCAGCCGCGGUAAUUC
RNAcentral lists this ribosomal RNA (406 nucleotides) under uncultured bacterium. RNAcentral describes it as "partial 16S ribosomal RNA". It matches the Rfam family "Bacterial small subunit ribosomal RNA", at positions 30 to 526 of the family's 1533-position model. The record is from RNAcentral.